GUGAGGAAUAUUGCGCAAUGGACGAAAGUCUGACGCAGCCAUGCCGCGUGAAGGAUUGACGGCCCUAUGGGUUGUAAACUUCUUUUGUAUAGGAAUAAACCCUCGUUCGUGAACGAGGCUGAAGGUACUAUAAGAAUAAGCACCGGCUAACUCCGUGCCAGCAGCCGCGGUAAUACGGAGGGUGCAAGCGUUAUCCGGAUUUAUUGGGUUUAAAGGGUCCGUAGGCGGAUCGUUAAGUCAGUGGUGAAAUCCUACCGCUCAACGGUAGAACUGCCAUUGAUACUGGCGAUCUUGAGUAUGUAUGAAGUUGGCGGAAUGUGUGGUGUAGCGGUGAAAUGCUUAGAUAUCACACAGAACACCGAUUGCGAAGGCAGCUGACUAAUACACAACUGACGCUGAGGGACGAAAGUGUGGGGAUCAAACAGGAUUAGAAACCCUUGUGUCC
RNAcentral lists this ribosomal RNA (445 nucleotides) under uncultured bacterium. Its description in RNAcentral is "partial 16S ribosomal RNA". It matches the Rfam family "Bacterial small subunit ribosomal RNA", at positions 354 to 796 of the family's 1533-position model. The record is from RNAcentral.